GUGCCAGCAGCCGCGGUAAUACGGAGACUGCUAGCGUUACUCGGAUUCACUGGGCGUAAAGGGUGCGCAGGCGGUCGAUUGUGUCAGGUGUGAAAUCCCAGAGCUCAACUCUGGAACUGCGCCUGAAACUGAUCGACUUGAGACUCGGAGGGGUAAGCGGAAUUCCAGGUGUAGCGGUGAAAUGCGUAGAUAUCUGGAGGAACACCAAAGGCGAAGGCAGCUUACUGGACGAGAUCUGACGCUCAGGCACGAAAGCGUGGGGAGCAAAAAGGAUUAGAUACCCGGGUAGUCC
RNAcentral lists this ribosomal RNA (292 nucleotides) under uncultured bacterium. RNAcentral describes it as "partial 16S ribosomal RNA". It matches the Rfam family "Bacterial small subunit ribosomal RNA", at positions 505 to 796 of the family's 1533-position model. The record is from RNAcentral.